GACGAACGCUGGCGGCGUGCUUAACACAUGCAAGUCGAGCGGAGCGGCGACCGGGCGAGUAACGCGUGAGUAACUGCCCCCCUCCCUGGGAUAACAUUUGGAAACGGCUGCUAAUACCGGAUAGUGGGGGAUGACUCGCGUCCUAUCAGCUUGUUGGUGGGGUAGUGGCCUCCCAAGGCGACGACGGGUAGCCGGCAUGGGAGGGCGACCGGCCACAUGGGGCUGAGGUACGGCCCAGACUCCAACGGGGGGCAGCGGUGGGGAAUAUUGCACAAUGGUGGAAACCCUGAUGAAGCAGCGCGGGUGCGGGAUGACGGCCUUCGGGUUGUAAACCGCUUUCGGCCAUGACGCGGUAGUGGCAGAAGAAGCACCGGCUAACUACGUGCCAGCAGCCGCGGUAAUUC
This 404-nucleotide ribosomal RNA is filed under the name uncultured bacterium. RNAcentral describes it as "partial 16S ribosomal RNA". It matches the Rfam family "Bacterial small subunit ribosomal RNA", at positions 28 to 526 of the family's 1533-position model. The record is from RNAcentral.